GCGGGUAUGGCGGAACUGGUAGACGCACCAGAUUUAGGUUCUGGCGAGAGAUCGUGGGGGUUCGAGUCCCUCUACCCGCACCA
RNAcentral lists this transfer RNA (83 nucleotides) under Mesorhizobium loti. RNAcentral's name for it is "tRNA-Leu". It matches the Rfam family "tRNA". Rfam says of the family: Transfer RNA (tRNA) molecules are approximately 80 nucleotides in length. Their secondary structure includes four short double-helical elements and three loops (D, anti-codon, and T loops). The record is from RNAcentral. Lineage: Bacteria; Pseudomonadati; Pseudomonadota; Alphaproteobacteria; Hyphomicrobiales; Phyllobacteriaceae. RNAcentral also lists the same sequence under 86 other names.